CUGUGCAUCUAGUUCGUGCCGGAAGGCACUUCACUCUUGAACUGUGCCUUUUCAUUGGAUGGAAAUAGAAAAUGUCUACUGCUCACAAAGACUGGAAAAGAAACAAAGGAGAAACUCUGAACUGCUUCUGCAACAUCAGGAUGGCCAUUAUCAGAGAAAUGAACUAUCUCUGACCAGUAAUCAAGUUCUCAAUUCAGGCAUCUCUUCAUUUUAUGACUGCAGCUGUCAUUUCAAUACCUGAUACAUUUAAUUCAAAGGUAAACUGGAAUUUUUGAGACCAAGUUAGAGGGUUCCUUUAUGCUAUCUUGGUCCAACAUGGCUUUGAAGUGAAGGUCAUAUGGAUAAUCAAUGGGUUUAAAGGGGAUUGAGGGUGAAAUAAAAAAAUAAUUCUAUCAGUAUACACACUGGGACCUGCAGUAGCACGAAGGAGUGGACACCUCUGACCUGCCGACCUCUCACCAUUGAAACAUGAGGUGGACUUUGUAAGACAGGAAUCUAGAAGUGUCCUACAUUGAAUGGCGACCAACAGUCAUGGCAUAGGUAAUUAUCCAGUUAAUAUCAAAUCAGUCAUGGUUUCAGAUUUAACCUAUGAACAAAAUAAACAACGUUGGGGGCAACCAAGAUAAUUUACCUAUUGGAACUAAGUAUGAAGUUAUACUAUCAGAUAUCCCAAUAAAAACACAGGCAAAAUACUUUUAGUAACUGGAUUUUAUACCACUAUUAUAUCUUUAUUAAUUCUAUAAUAUGGAGCCAUAUAUUUCAAUAGUUUAUGUCAUUAACUGAUGACAACUUUGUUUCUAUUUAAUACUUAAUGAAAGAGUUUUCAUAUCAUUGUUUUUUCUCUUCAAGUCGUAUACAUUCAUGUUGUUUUAUCUAAUCUACAAAUUAAG
This 890-nucleotide long non-coding RNA is filed under the name Chinchilla lanigera (long-tailed chinchilla). Its description in RNAcentral is "lncRNA (ENSCLAG00000025920.1)". Lineage: Eukaryota; Metazoa; Chordata; Mammalia; Rodentia; Chinchillidae. The record is from RNAcentral.